GACAGAGGAGGCGAGCGUUAUCCGGAGUUAUUGGGCGUAAAGGGUACGUAGGCGGCUAGUCAAGUCUGGGGUUAAAGACCACAGCUUAACUGUGGGGGGGCCUUGGAAACUGACCGGCUGGAGUGGGGCAGGGGUUGCGGGAAUUCCAGGUGUAGCGGUGAAAUGCGUAGAUAUCGGGAAGAACACCUGAGGCGAAAGCGCGCAACUGGGCCCUAACUGACGCUGAGGUAAGAAAGCUAGGGGAGCGAAUGGG
RNAcentral lists this ribosomal RNA (253 nucleotides) under uncultured bacterium. RNAcentral describes it as "partial 16S ribosomal RNA". It matches the Rfam family "Bacterial small subunit ribosomal RNA", at positions 524 to 776 of the family's 1533-position model. The record is from RNAcentral.